This 497-nucleotide ribosomal RNA is filed under the name uncultured bacterium. Its description in RNAcentral is "partial 16S ribosomal RNA". It matches the Rfam family "Bacterial small subunit ribosomal RNA", at positions 28 to 507 of the family's 1533-position model. The record is from RNAcentral.
GAUGAACGCUGGCGGCGUGCCUAAUACAUGCAAGUCGAGCGAACGGACGAGAAGCUUGCUUCUCUGAUGUUAGCGGCGGACGGGUGAGUAACACGUGGAUAACCUACCUAUAAGACUGGGAUAACUUCGGGAAACCGGAGCUAAUACCGGAUAAUAUUUUGAACCGCAUGGUUCAAAAGUGAAAGACGGUCUUGCUGUCACUUAUAGAUGGAUCCGCGCUGCAUUAGCUAGUUGGUAAGGUAACGGCUUACCAAGGCAACGAUGCAUAGCCGACCUGAGAGGGGGAUCGGCCACACUGGAACUGGAACACGGGCCAGACUCCUACGGGGAGCAGCAGUAGGGAAUCUUCCGCAAUGGGCGAAAGCCUGACGGAGCAACGCCGCGUGAGUGAUGAAGGUCUUCGGAUCGUAAAACUCUGUUAUUAGGGAAGAACAUAUGUGUAAGUAACUGUGCACAUCUUGACGGUACCUAAUCAGAAAGCCACGGCUAACUACGUG